RNAcentral lists this ribosomal RNA (460 nucleotides) under uncultured bacterium. RNAcentral's name for it is "partial 16S ribosomal RNA". It matches the Rfam family "Bacterial small subunit ribosomal RNA", at positions 338 to 795 of the family's 1533-position model. The record is from RNAcentral.
CCUACGGGGCGCAGCAGUGAGGAAUAUUGGUCAAUGGCCGGAAGGCUGAACCAGCCAUGCCGCGUGAAGGUCAGUGCCCUAUGGGCGUUAAACUUCUUUUGUGCGGGAGCAAUAAUGGUCACGUGUGGCCAGACGAGAGUACCGUACGAAUAAGCAUCGGCUAACUCCGUGCCAGCAGCCGCGGUAAUACGGGGGAUGCAAGCGUUAUCCGGAUUUAUUGGGUUUAAAGGGUGCGUAGGCUGUGAGGUAAGUCAGCGGUGAAAUGCCCCCGCUCAACGGGGUGAAGUGCCAUUGAUACUGCCUGGCUGGAAUGCGGAUGCCGUGGGAGGAAUGUGUGGUGUAGCGGUGAAAUGCAUAGAUAUCACACAGAACACCGAUUGCGAAGACAUCUCACGAAUCCGCGAUUGACGCUGAUGCACGAAAGCGUGGGUAUCAAACAGGAUUAGAUACCCGAGUAGUC